This 637-nucleotide ribosomal RNA is filed under the name uncultured Glomeromycotina. Its description in RNAcentral is "eukaryotic LSU rRNA". It matches the Rfam family "Eukaryotic large subunit ribosomal RNA", at positions 65 to 615 of the family's 3401-position model. The record is from RNAcentral. Lineage: Eukaryota; Fungi; Glomeromycota.
CUAACAAGGAUUCCCUUAGUAACGGCGAGUGAAGUGGGAAAAGCUCAAAUUUUAAAUCUGUCUGGGUAACCAGACCGAGUUGUAAUUUGAAGAAACGUAUUCAACGUCAUGGAAUGAUCAGAAUCCUUUGGAAAGAGGUAUCAUGGAGGGUUAUAAUCCCGUUCAUGGUCAAACCAGAAGCGUUACCUAUGCGUUUUCUAAGAGUCGAGUUGUUUGGGAUUGCUGCUCAAAAUGGGUGGUAAAUUUCACCUAAGGCUAAAUAUUUGCGAGAGACCGAUAGCGAACAAGUACCGUGAGGGAAAGAUGAAAAGAACUUUGAAAAGAGAGUCAAAAGUACGUGAAAUUGUUAAAAGGGAAACGAUUGAAGUCAGUCAUGCUUGCAAGUAAUCAGCUUAAGGUAUUCUUUAAGUGUACUUUCUUGUCUAGCAAGUUAGCGUCGAUUUUAAUUAUCUUAAAAUAACUAGGGGAAUGUAACUCCCUCGGGAGCGUUAUAGCCCUUGGUAAGAUGAGAUGAUUGAGAUCGAGGAUUGCAGCGAAUGCUCAUUAGUGCUAGCAACUUAAUCUCUGAAUGGCCCCUGGUUAUAAACAGCUUGCUUAUUAUGAUUAGGUUAGCUUAUCAAAAGGUUUCGUUUGCUUA